RNAcentral lists this ribosomal RNA (746 nucleotides) under Drosophila hydei. RNAcentral describes it as "SSU rRNA". It matches the Rfam family "Eukaryotic small subunit ribosomal RNA", at positions 98 to 768 of the family's 1831-position model. The record is from RNAcentral. Lineage: Eukaryota; Metazoa; Arthropoda; Insecta; Diptera; Drosophilidae.
UCAUUAUAUCAGUUAUGGUUCCUUAGAUCGUUAACAGUUACUUGGAUAACUGUGGUAAUUCUAGAGCUAAUACAUGCAAUUAAAACACGGACCUUUUGGAACGUGUGCUUUUAUUAGGCUAAAACCAAGCGAUCGCUAGAUCGUUACAUUGGUUGAACUCUAGAUAACAUGCAGAUCGUAUGGUCUUGUACCGACGACAGAUCUUUCAAAUGUCUGCCCUAUCAACUUUUGAUGGUAGUAUCUAGGACUACCAUGGUUGCAACGGGUAACGGGGAAUCAGGGUUCGAUUCCGGAGAGGGAGCCUGAGAAACGGCUACCACAUCUAAGGAAGGCAGCAGGCGCGUAAAUUACCCACUCCCAGCUCGGGGAGGUAGUGACGAAAAAUAACAAUACAGGACUCAUAUCCGAGGCCCUGUAAUUGGAAUGAGUACACUUUAAAUCCUUUAACAAGGACCUAUUGGAGGGCAAGUCUGGUGCCAGCAGCCGCGGUAAUUCCAGCUCCAAAAGCGUAUAUUAAAGUUGUUGCGGUUAAAACGUUCGUAGUUGAACUUGUGCUUCAUACGGGUAGUACAACUUACAAUUGUGGUUAGUACUAUACCUUUAUGUAUGUAAGCGUAUUACCGGUGGAGUUCUUAUAUUUAAUUAAGUACUUGUACUUUUUUACGUAUUCCUCCUAUUUAAAAACCUGCAUUAGUGCUCUUCAUCGAGUGUUAUUGUGGGCCGGUACAAUUACUUUGAACAAAUUA